This 231-nucleotide long non-coding RNA is filed under the name Mus musculus (house mouse). RNAcentral describes it as "long non-coding RNA chrX:38089840-38090071". The record is from RNAcentral. Lineage: Eukaryota; Metazoa; Chordata; Mammalia; Rodentia; Muridae.
GAGGAUUGGUUCAACACUAGAAAAGCUAAAUCUAGGAAUAAUUAGUAAAACAAACAAGCUGGUACCUGCCCCCCUCCUACAAAGGGUGACCUUCACAUGAAGGUCAUUUUCUUGGUGGAAUCCAAGAAAAUCAUCAUUUUCCAGGAGCAAGUGGGAGAUGGGCUCUUCUGUGAACACCAGAACUUUGACACCCAUUUUGGCCUAAACAACCCUCUCUCCCUUCUCUUCAGU